GUUCCGUUCCUUUGGUUCCACUGUCUUGUUCAGGAGUAAUAUAUGUUGGCUGAUCUAAUUCUUUACAGGUUCUCCUCUGGAUUAAGGACAUCUACCAUUUGGAUAUGGUAUUACAACCUAUAUACUGGACAGAGGAUUAUUACCUAAAUAUCGGUCAUUUUUUACCUAAAUUAUAACCAAACAGAAACAUAAUGGAACUCAUAUACAGACUCAAGCUGCACCUGCACAGAUGCCUGAUAAAACAUCUGCAUGUAACACAGGUCAUGUUGCAGCAUAUUUAAACUAGUUGACUUGUUAAUACAUUUUAUUUUAUGCUGAUUCUGGAGCCAUUGUGGCAGAUUGCAGUUCAGGAAUUGAAUCAGCUGUGGCACUCUGUUUCUGCUUCUUAUUGCUCACCCCUGUAUUAUGAACUGCAGAAAUCAUUCAAGAAUUGCUUUCUGUCCAAGUCAGAAUUCAUGAAACCUCCCUCAUUGCUAGGGAACUGCGAGUUUCCCCUUGAUGAUCGAUGUAAGCCACUGCUGUUACAUGUCUUACUGGAAACACAGAUAAGUCUCUCUCCUCAAGAGAGGCAAAAACUGAAGGGCAGUGGAAAAUAUUUAUGGGCAACUUUGUCUCCUGAAGUACCCAAACUCCCUGUGCUCUCCAGGAUCCCCAGACUGCACCCCAACCUGAAAGACUUGAAUCUGUCAAUGUCAUGGUCCAAUUUGGGCAGACAAAGGAUGCCCCCAGAACAAUGGAUAGAUGAUUGCUCAACCAGGAAAAUAAUUUUGGAAAUAUGGAGCCACAAAGAGAGAAGUAACAUUAUAUAGCACCUUGUAAGACUUUAUUGCAGUAGUCCAGCCCUGGAGUGCCUUUUCUCCUCUGAGUACUGUAACCCCCCCAGCUACAACAUAAUUGAACAUCUUCUAUUGUUUUAGAUUGCUUUUAAAAUCCUCUUAGACUCAGCCUGAACAUGUACUUUUCAUUUAAUAAGAUUAAGUGAUUUUAUUACAAGA
This is a long non-coding RNA of Bombina bombina (fire-bellied toad), 995 nucleotides long. RefSeq lists it as uncharacterized. NCBI's taxonomy places the organism in Eukaryota, Metazoa, Chordata, Amphibia, Anura, Bombinatoridae. The record is from RefSeq and is a predicted model, not a curated record. The transcript has 2 exons.